UACGUAGGGGCAAGCGUUGUCCGGAAUUAUUGGGCGUAAAGCGCGCGCAGGCGGUUAAUUCAGUUGGGUGUUUAAGCCCGGGGCUCAACCCCGGUUCGCAUCCAAAACUGGUUGACUUGAGUGUAGGAGAGGAAAGUGGAAUUCCACGUGUAGCGGUGAAAUGCGUAGAGAUGUGGAGGAACACCAGUGGCGAAGGCGACUUUCUGGCCUAUAACUGACGCUGAGGCGCGAAAGCGUGGGGAGCAAACAGG
Molecule: ribosomal RNA, 251 nt
Filed under: uncultured bacterium
Lineage: Bacteria
Description: partial 16S ribosomal RNA
Rfam family: Bacterial small subunit ribosomal RNA
Source: RNAcentral